UAGAGUUUGAUCAUGGCUCAGAUUGAACGCUGGCGGCAGGCCUAACACAUGCAAGUCGAACGGUAACAGGAAGCAGCUUGCUGCUUCGCUGACGAGUGGCGGACGGGUGAGUAAUGUCUGGGAAGCUGCCUGAUGGAGGGGGAUAACUACUGGAAACGGUAGCUAAUACCGCAUAAUGUCGCAAGACCAAAGAGGGGGACCUUCGGGCCUCUUGCCAUCGGAUGUGCCCAGAUGGGAUUAGCUUGUUGGUGGGGUAACGGCUCACCAAGGCGACGAUCCCUAGCUGGUCUGAGAGGAUGACCAGCCACACUGGAACUGAGACACGGUCCAGACUCCUACGGGAGGCAGCAGUGGGGAAUAUUGCACAAUGGGCGCAAGCCUGAUGCAGCAGCCGCGGUAAUAC
This 403-nucleotide ribosomal RNA is filed under the name uncultured Escherichia sp. RNAcentral describes it as "bacterial SSU rRNA". It matches the Rfam family "Bacterial small subunit ribosomal RNA", at positions 1 to 409 of the family's 1533-position model. Lineage: Bacteria; Pseudomonadati; Pseudomonadota; Gammaproteobacteria; Enterobacterales; Enterobacteriaceae. The record is from RNAcentral.